AUGAGUACAGUGAAGAAAGUGGACGGUGAUGAGAUAUUGUACUUAAAUGAGAUCCACGAUAAGGUAUCCAGGACUUUGACAUCCAACGACGUGGGGGCAGUUCCAGCCAUCCAUUCCAUUCCAUCAAUCGGCCUGCGCGCUGGCUUCUCAACGGAAGCCGACGAGGACAAAUCAGUCUCCAAAUCGAAAAUCGACGACGGUAACGAUGAAAACCUGAAUGGACAGCCAUUGUCAGCAAUCGGUUUUAAUAAAGAUAGGUCUCUGGCGGAGACGAAAUCGCACCCAGAUUGGCCGAAUAACGUGUUCCUGCUUGCACCGUCAACCGUACAGCUCGCCACACCAGAUGUAAACAUCUACCUGCACAAUAAGACCCUGGCCCAGGGCAUGAUGGACGUGGCACUACUGUCUGCCAACGUUAAUCAAAUGCGCUAUGUUCUGCAGACAGAUGGUAGGCAUCCGUACUUCUACCCUUCGCUGAUCAUGAUCAGCAUGAGCCUGUUCCUGCAAAUCGCUGUAGGCAUUGGUCUAAUAUGGGAUGUCUAUACUGUCAAGAAGCAUGAGCAGAUGUGCAAGGCGAACAAAGCUAAUAACUGGAGCGUAAUAGGCAUUUUUCUUGUUACGAUAUUAAAUGUCUUUAUCUUGAUCUUCGUUUAGCGUCGUCGAUCAAAUACAACCAAGCGUUACGGCGUAA
Ooceraea biroi (clonal raider ant) is the source of this 691-nucleotide RNA transcript. RefSeq lists it as uncharacterized. The record is from RefSeq and is a predicted model, not a curated record. NCBI's taxonomy places the organism in Eukaryota, Metazoa, Arthropoda, Insecta, Hymenoptera, Formicidae.